Molecule: ribosomal RNA, 301 nt
Filed under: uncultured bacterium
Lineage: Bacteria
Description: partial 16S ribosomal RNA
Rfam family: Bacterial small subunit ribosomal RNA
Source: RNAcentral
CAGUAGCCGCGGGAAUACGUAGGGUGCAAGCGUUAAUCGGAAUUACUGGGCGUAAAGCGUGCGCAGGCGGUUAUAUAAGACAGUCGUGAAAUCCCCGGGCUCAACCUGGGAACUGCGAUUGUGACUGUAUGCUAGAGUGUGUCAGAGGGGGGUAGAAUUCCACGUGUAGCAGUGAAAUGCGUAGAUAUGUGGAGGAAUACCGAUGGCGAAGGCAGCCCCCUGGGAUAACACUGACGCUCAUGCACGAAAGCGUGGGGAGCAAACAGGAUUAGAUACCCCGGUAGUCCCUGUCUCUUAUAAA